Molecule: ribosomal RNA, 490 nt
Filed under: uncultured bacterium
Lineage: Bacteria
Description: partial 16S ribosomal RNA
Rfam family: Bacterial small subunit ribosomal RNA
Source: RNAcentral
AUUGAACGCUGGCGGCAGGCCUAACGCAUGCAAGUCGAACGGUAACAGGAAGAAGCUUGCUUCUUUGCUGACGAGUGGCGGACGGGUGAGUAAUGUCUGGGAAACUGCCUGAUGGAGGGGGAUAACUACUGGAAACGGUAGCUAAUACCGCAUAACGUCGCAAGACCAAAGAGGGGGACCUUCGGGCCUCUUGCCUUCGGCUGUGCCCAGAUGGGAUUAGCUAGUAGGUGGGGUAACGGCUCACCUAGGCGACGAUCCCUAGCUGGUCUGAGAGGAUGACCAGCCACACUGGAACUGAGACACGGUCCAGACUCCUACGGGAGGCAGCAGUGGGGAAUAUUGCACAAUGGGCGCAAGCCUGAUGCAGCCAUGCCGCGUGUAUGAAGAAGGCCUUCGGGUUGUAAAGUACUUUCAGCGGGGAGGAAGGGAGUAAAGUUAAUACCUUUGCUCAUUGACGUUACCCGCAGAAGAAGCACCGGCUAACUCCGUG